RNA transcript from Ostrea edulis (European flat oyster), 2236 nucleotides. RefSeq lists it as uncharacterized. The transcript has 8 exons. NCBI's taxonomy places the organism in Eukaryota, Metazoa, Mollusca, Bivalvia, Ostreida, Ostreidae. The record is from RefSeq and is a predicted model, not a curated record.
CUUUCAAUAAACAUUUUCGUGGUAUAUAUUUAUAGUAAAAUGGACAAUUGACGUCACAAAUAUCUGUUACUAAAUUUUUAAGGAUUUUGAUGACCAGAAAUGCAGAGGAAAUCCAUUCAUGGGAGUAGAAAAAAAAUGUUUUUGCAUUAAAAUAUAUGAUAAAAAGGUUAUUGACUGCAUGACUAUGAGUUCUUAGCGCGGUUAUGUGGACCGAGCUUGCGAGGUCUGCAUCCACGCAAAGACCACUGGUGGGCAUAUUUCCCGAUAUUCAGUCAAUAACCUAUAAAUAUUAAACUUCUUGUUCUUUUACAACUAAUGAAUAUUACUUUAAAAUGGUUAAAAAUAAAAGGAAAUAGUGAAAAUAACGAGAUGUUUCGCGCCUAAAUCGGCGCAAAACAUCUUAGGGUGAAACAGAAUCGGUGCGAAACAUCCUGGAUUCAUUGUGGGAUACCCUUCAGGUUUAAUGAAAUACUCCUAUCACAUUUGCAAAAUAGUGAUAUGGAAUAUCCAUGAGUGAUUUUUCUUCUUAAUUAUUGUUUAUUAUUGUAGUUCAGUGGACCAUCAUUAAGUUUACCGAUGAUGGUAUCAUAGCUAUUAAAAAACUGAAUGAUCUACGCAGCAAUGAGGGUCAUGAUGAGGAAGAACUAGAGGAGGGUGAUCAUUGUUUGGCAAAAUAUGAUGAUAAUGAAUACUAUGAUGCCAAGAUUCUGUUAAUUACAGAUGAUAAAGAAAAAGCACUUAGAGAGAAAAAAGUCUUCCUUGAGGUUCAAAAAGCAAAGGAGAAAAUUGACUCCACUACCAAAAAUAAGAAACAGAAAAAGUCAAAGGAGACUAGGGAACCAGAAGUACAGAAAGAAAACUCGCGCGCAAAAAAGAAGGUAGAAAAGCCUCAAGAGAAAAAGAAAGAAAGGAAGAAAGCAGAAACCAAGACUCAUGAAAAUGAUGAAGCGAAGAAAAAGAAAAAAAGAGCUUGCUGAAUUUGAAAAAAGAAAGAGGGAAGCUACGGCUGUGUCUGUUCAGGAGAGGGCAACAAAGCUAUUUGCAUCGUGUUCCAACUUAGAUGUGCAUCUCUCCAGGCAAACUGCAGUGCUGCUCCAGAGCUGGUCUUUAACCUAGCUGAGACAGAGCGGGAUUAUUACCCCAAAACACGGCCCCGUAUGAAACUGGCGAAAUAUUACACCACAGACCCAGUGAAUCCUAGCAUAAAAGAAGGGUACAAACAGUUGGCUCCAGGGACCCCAGUAGUAGUAGACGCUCUAUGGCUUCAUGGAGCACUUUCAUCAGUCCGUGGAAAGGACAGGGCAGGAUCAAAAAAGAAGCCACAAAAGCCAGAAGCCAUAAUCAAACAUCUAAUGGAUGGUUUCUUUACCAUCAAAGACCUAGUAGGAAAGGGGGAACCAGCAGGUUUUUGGACAGCCCAGUAUACACCUCCCUUAAAUUGUAUGCCGAAGUGGUUUUGAAAAUGUGCUCAGCGUCAUUUAAUUCCGCAUGGAAUGAAAAGUUGUCCUCUGCAAGAAGGACACAGAAGAGACUCGCUGCUCAAGAACCAUCCGAAGGACCAUCUGUUGGACAAUAAUUUUUAAAGGACUAUUGUCAAAUAUAAUUGUGUUGAUAUAUGUUGUAAUUAAUCCUUAGAAAAUUUCUGUUUAAUGUUUAUUUUCCUUCAGGAAACAAUCCUUCUAUAGGAGGACCACUGAUUAUAACUUUUACUGUGUGGAUUGUUUUGUUUAAUAAUUUUUUUCCUUCUGUAGAAUUAUUUGAUUUUUUGUUAAAUACCAAAUUCAUUUGGUUUUGAAAUACAUGUACUUUAUAUUUGAACUUAUAUGAUUCAUGUAUGUAUUUUUUGCUAGAAAAGUUAAAAUGACAGAAGAAAUUAUAAUUUGAAUUCCUGAAAGACUUGCAUUGUUCUAAUUCAUAUUUUAUUUGCAUAAUGAUAUAGUUCACUUGACAUACAUCUACAUUAUUUUUCAUAUUUGGAAAUUGAAAUUAUAUAUCAAAUAUUAAAGGGAUGUUGUGAUUCAAUUUUUUAAGUCUUCAGUUUGUGUAAGAAACUAAUGUAUAAUUGUUCUAUGAGUUGUUAGCUUUAACAGAUCAUACCAGGAUCAUGAUUUUUAAAAUGAGUUAUUAGUUUUAACAGAUCAUAUCAGGAUCGUGGUUUUGUUGCAAGUUGUUAAGUUUAACAGAUCAUACCAGAAUCAUGAUCCAUUUGCUCAUUUGCAUGUGAAAUUUUCCUAUA